Helianthus annuus (common sunflower) is the source of this 1687-nucleotide long non-coding RNA. RefSeq lists it as uncharacterized. The record is from RefSeq and is a predicted model, not a curated record. NCBI's taxonomy places the organism in Eukaryota, Viridiplantae, Streptophyta, Magnoliopsida, Asterales, Asteraceae. The transcript has 9 exons.
AAUUCUGCGCGAUUCACCGCUCCCUCAUCUGAUCAAACAAAACCUCCCGUCCACGCGUCUGGUCGAAUUAACCUCAAGUAACAUCUUAACCCUAAUUUCCAUGUGGUUCAUCUUCCCAACGCGAUCAAAAAUGUAUUCGUUAUCAUCAAAACCUUCGCAAUCGAUUUGAUAUGCUUCAAUCACAUCAAAAUCUUCCCAAUCGAUCAUAUAACUUUUGGUUUACACUCGAAUUCAUUAUCUUUCGAUUUGUAUAUUUAGGUUAUGAAUGUCAAUUUUAUCAUUAUCUUAUGUAGAAGACAUGUUCAUCUAUCUCAAACAUGUAAUUUGGGGAUUUGAAGAAGGAGAAGCAAGUGAACACAUCUGACUUCGAUUGAUCAGCAAUCUCUCUGAUCUCCAUAAGUACACAGAACUGCAGACUCGCAACAUUGAGCUUAAAAUGAGCUGCAAAUAUGGCUGUUGGAGUUGGAGCUGGUGUACCAUGGGUUAUGUGCAGGCAAACUGAUGCUCCAGUAAACAUUGUACAUUCCUACUCUGUUGAUUAUUCAAAUUACAUGUGCCAUUUUUGACCCAUUUACUUGUGAUUGAUGGGUCAAUUCUGUUAUUUUUCAUGUCUAAUGGGUCAAAUGGGUAUGUAAAAGUCAGAUUAUUAACCUUAUUUUCAUGCAGAUAAUGUGUUUCUUUACUAACCCAUGCAAGCCUAUUAUACUUGCACUUGCUUGGCCCGACCCGAAAAUAAAUCUUACAACGUUGGAUUUACAUGCUAUGGAUAACACUGUACUUGUCGGAGUGUCGUUCUUUACGGGAGCUUGCCAAUCUUGUAUGUCUCAAGUGACCACAAGGUCCACAACUACAGCACUAAGCAGGUGAUUAGUGUUACUCCGUGGAUAUACGACUACUUGCUCGCUAAUGUUAGGGAACCACUGGAAGGAUUUGUAUGAUUUGCAGAUUCUAAGAGAACUUAGAGAGGAGACUGCACCAAUGCGUGGGAGUCAAAUGCAGGUAUCCCCUGAUCAAACACAAUCACUUGCGAUGCUUGUCCAGAUUCUCAGGCAAUGUUAAUGAUCUGUAUGUACAUGGUAGACAAGUCCCAAGGUUGCAGCUGCUGGGUAUGACAGACAAGGGGUAGCCGAUCAUGCGGAAAAUCUCGCCACCAAAAUUCGAAAUAACUUAACCAAUUCUAUGAAAUCUCUUGGUGUUGACAUCUUGACUGGUGUUGGCACUGUUGUGGGUCCACAAAAGGUUAAAUAUGGAAAGGUUGGGGGCACUGAGACAGUCAUUACAGCAAAAGACAUAAUUAUAGCUACUGGAUCAGUACCAUUUUGUUCCUAAGGGAGUUGAAGUUGAUGGAACUUAGCUUUCUGUUUGCAAUAGCAUCUGAAUCUUAGCUGGAAUAUAACUGAUCGAAAGGUUGAACGUGAUUAUCCAAGAUAUAGUGAAAGAAAAAGAAGAAGAAAAAGAAAGGUUGAACGAAAUUAUUGCGGGAUUGGUGGUGGAAAAAGGGAAAGAUAACGUGGAGAAAGAGGCUAUGAAUCAAAGAAUGGCAAACAUUGAAGUGAUGAUAAAAGCUAGGUUUCAAAACGUAUAAUGUAGGUUAUAAAUAAUUUGUUUUAACAUGUAUUUUGUUAUAAUAACUUUGGUAUUUGAUGUUUUAAGUGGAAUGUUUUAUAUAAUUGUGAAAAUUUGAUGA